AGGGAAGAGAGAGAAAGGAUGUCUCAAGCCCUUGGCAAGAGACCACCCGCUACAGGGAAACAACCGCGCUCGGAAUCACAAAUCAAAUCCGAUAAGAAAAGGAGCCGAACCAGAGUAAACAUCGGCACUGCUUUUAAUCGCUGGAGACAACUGAUGGACCUGAAAGAAAUGAGGUUUGACUCCGAACUUGCAACAUUUCUUUUGGAUUGCCAGCACUCUGUUAGCGGAUCUGGCCAGAUGGACCAGUCAUCGGAGCUUGAAAUCAAAACAUCUGCUGAUCAGGGUGAGAGCAGCAGUGGUCAGACAGUGGAUGAUGAGCUCGAUGGACUUCCAGUCUUUGGAACAGAUGAAGAUGAUUGGGAAAUAGACAGUAGCUUUGCUCAGAAAGCUUUGGAACAGAUGGAAAGGGACAGCGAUGAUAAAAACGAAAGUCAAGAUGGAGUGCCAACUAGCGGUGCAGAUGCAGAGAACAGCUCAUCUAUCAAUGGCUCUUCAGAAAUGGAUGAGGAAAGAGCGAAGGUUUCUGAGGACACCCCCGUGACCCCUUUAUCAGACACUAUUAUAGAUAUCCAAGACGUACAGUCUGAACUUAGAAUUGAGUCAUCGCGAAGUGAUGCUAAUCCGGAGCUCCCUUCUGAAUGCGCAGGCAGAGAAAAAAGUUACUCACCUGUAAUAAGUAUUAAGGAUGAGCCUAUUGAUGAUGAAUAUGAUAAAGCUUUAAUGCCCCAGUCCGACAUGAGCAGUGUUAAACAGGAGCUUGACAGUUCUGAAAGUAAUGAGAAUGAGGCCUCCUCUGCAUCAGAUGAAUUGAGGAUUAGCUCUGUUUUCUCUGUCAGCGGAAACAGCAGUGAUACAGUUUCUUCUGCAUCUAUGGCCCCCUCCCAUGCAUCUUCAUUUUCAGUAAUGUCCCAGAAUGCUGCUCCACUCAGAGGAACUACUAUACUUCUGCCAGCCCAAUCCCAAACUCCGGUUCAGUUCCGGCUGCAACCCAAGACCCAGAUGUAUCCUCAGAUCCCCACUCGCUCCCGAAUGCAGCCGCCCAUGAUGCCCCAAACUCACCUACAGCCUCCUCCACAGCCACCCCAGAUCCAUGCCCCUCCACCCACAGUGAGGAUCUGCUGCUCAGGCUGUUCCAAAGUCCUCCAGAAAGGUCAAACUGCAUUCCAGCGAAAAGGCUCCAACCAGCUGUUUUGCUCCACUGUGUGUCUAACUAGUUUCAGUUUACCAUCAGUUCAGUUUACCCCCAUCGUUGCCCCUAAGAAAACCUGCCACCUCUGCCUUAAGGUCAUUGUCAAUUUAAAGGACUUGAUAACAAUCCCCGUGGGCUCUAUGAACACACUAAAGGAGUUCUGCAGCCAAGCUUGUCUUAGUAUUUAUAAAAACAGAUAUGAAGAUGCAACUCCAGAUCUAUAUACACAAUGCGGCGUGUGUAAGUUGGUGAAAGAGAUUCAGCAUGAAGUGACUCAUCUGGGUGCUGUGCACAAGCUGUGCAGCGAUGAAUGCUUUGCACGCUUCAGAUCCUCCAGAAACCUCUACAUGAGCUACUGCGAGAACUGUGGCAACUGUACGGCCUCAGGAAACUAUCACCUGGUUCAGAUAGAAGAUAGUAUUAAAAAGUUCUGCUGCACCGAAUGCAUCUCUAAUUACAAACAGAAAAGUGGCAAGAGGCUUCACUGUCCCUACUGCCAAGAUAUCAAAGAUAUUGAACAAAUGAUGGAAGGGACAAACAUACAGGGUGUCACAGAAUUCUUCUGCUCUCAAAGAUGUGUGGCCCUGAGUCAAGCAUCUCCCAGUUUGACAGGUAAAUAUUUGAAAUGCACCUCUUUCCCAUGCACAACUUGCAAGAAGUUAGCCGUUCCACAGUAUCACCUUGCCAUUUCUGAUGGGUCCAUCAGGAACUUCUGCUCAUUAGACUGUGUGGGCAAAUUCCAGGAGAAACUGAAUGCAUCUGUACCUCAUAACCAGAUGAAUGGAAACUCACAAGGACCUCCGCCUCAAAGCGCUGCACCACCUCGACCCACCACCGACCAUCUCCAGCCCACUCAAACUUCAUCCAGUGUUCCUGGCCCAAACCACAACCCUCCCCCACCUUUCGUACCACCAUCCAUUCAAAAUCCAGUUCCAACUUAUGUGCCAGCUCCUGCUGUGGUUAACUCGCAAGACGCCCAGCAGCAAUGGCCAAUCAAGCCUCCCUCAUCAUCUGACACAGUACGGCUGACGUGCAAACAGUGCCAGAAUCAGUUCAGCUCAAAGCCUGAGGUUUUCCAGUUCAAGGGUCACGCAGGGUUGUUCUGUUCUCGAGCGUGUUGCGACACAUACAAGAGGGAAAGCAGCGUGAAAGCUUUGUGCGAGUACUGCAAAAUAGAAAAAGUGGUCAAAGAUAUCAUCACAUACGAAAAGCAGCCGAGAUCUUUCUGUUGUGAAGGCUGUAAACUGCUUUUCAAGCAUGACCUUGCCAAACGACAUGGAGGUCAAUGCAGGGUUUGUGCCUACUGUCAAAACAUGACCCACAAAACCAUUCAGAACUUCUUUGGGGGCAAACUUGAGGAGUUUUGCACAGAGGAGUGCAUGUCUCUUUACACCGUUCUCUUUUAUGAGAUGGCCAAGUGUCAUGGCUGUAAGAAUCAGGGCUCAUUAAAGGAAAGCCUCGUCUGGGAUGGAACAACAAGACACUUCUGUAACUUGUCCUGUUUGCUGCAGUUCUGUUCAAAGUGCAUUACCCCUCAUCAGCCAGCAAGCAAUGGUGCUGUGUCUAACACCACUACAGUUCAAGCUCCAUUAUCUCUGUCGAAAGAAAUGCCUGUAAUUGGUGGUGUGGUGUCACUGGCCUCCACAUUACCGGGAAAUACUGCUCUUACAGGAGCUCUGCCUACCUCCAAUGCCAGCUCAAAAAACAUUGGGGAAGCCAGCACACAAACCGAUGCUGCAGUGUCUGCUAUUCCAUAUCGAAGAACGUUGAAGAACAAAGCUCUCAUGUGCAGACCGAUUACUGAAGAGCAGGGCGUCCAGUGUCAGCCAGAGCCUCCACUACCUCCAAAUCUGUGCCAAACAGUGAUUGAUGAAAAUGGAGAGAGAGUGAAGCUGGUCCCAGUGCCGGUGCCCAUUCCGAUGCCAGUUUACAUCCCAGUACCAAUGCAUCUAUACACCCAGUACACACCCUUUCCACUGGGCCUACCUCUACCGGUGCCUGUUCCCAUGGUCAUCCCUGGAUCUCAAGACUCCCCCGAACAGAAAGACACUAAAUGUAGCCUGCCUGCUCAGAGCUCAGUGGAAGACGACGAUGUGGAGAAGGGAAAAGACAAGCCUGCGUCACACGACCAGGGCAGCACUUACAGUGGUGAUUUGGAGUCAGAGGCCAGAUCAACACCCUUCAGCUUGGCAGAUACUGAGGAUCCUGGAGUCAACGUGAAGCCACCGGUGCCAUCGACCGAACUAGAGGAGCCGGUAGCCGCUCGGACCCCGUCUUUGUCGUCAGAGCAGCCAGAUCUGGAAAAUGAUUUUCCUCGCUCAUCAGCUGACCCUGGAUCAGCUAAAGAGAACAGACUGGUAUUGACACUGAAGAGACGUAAGAGGGGCAGAGACAGCCACCCUCCCAGGAAAAGGGUAUGUAAUCUGACAGAAUCAGAUUCCCGGCUUGUUGAAAAGACAUUUGUCUUGAGCGACAGAACGACAGAACAUCGGCCAGAGUCUGAAGUGUGAAGUCUGUUGAAGUGGGUUGUGUCCCGUCUUUUAGAUGAACGAUAAAGACUGAAGUGUUUCCAAAGUCUCUUGUCCAGACUUGUUGAUCAGUAUAUACCGUAAUUAGGAACAGUAACUGCAGAGAGACUAUUUCUCUUAGAUAUAGCUUAGAUUUUAAUUUUUUUUUUUUUACAUUUAGGAUCAUUUGGCUGUAUCUGUUGUAGAGAUUAAGGACUGUUAAUUGUGACCCUGGAGCACCAGUCUUAAGUCGCUAGCAACAGCCAAAAAAUAUUGUAUGGGUCAAAAUUAUCAAUUUUUCUUCUAUGCCAAAAAUCAUUAGGAUAUUAAGUAAUGAUCAUGUUCCAGGAAGAUAUUUUGUAAAUUUCCUACCAUAAAUGUAUCAAAUCUUAAUUUUAUGAUUCGUAAUAUGUAUUGCUAAGAAUUCAUUUGGACAACUUCAAAAGCGAUUUUCUCAGUAUUUAUAUUCUUUUGCACCCUCAGAUUGUAGAUUUUUUUAAAUAGUUGUAUCUCAGCCAAAUAUUGUCCGAUACUAAUAAACCAUACAUCUUAUUUCAGAUGAUGUAGGUAUCUCAUUUUUGAAAAAAUUGACACAUAAGAGUAAUUUUGUGGUCCAGGGUCACAAAUGUUCCAAAACAUUUGUAUAAUUUCUUGCAUUGUCAUGUAUUGCUAGUUUAUAUUUUUGACUGGUCAUUUUAAAAAUGAUUUACGCUUGGUAGAUCGAUUGAUGUUUUUCAUUUGUCAAUGGCAAAUCACAAGGCUAUUUUGUUGUUCUUCUAUCAAGUUUGUUUUGUUGUACAUGGAAAGUUCUAUAGAGACUUUUGGGUAGCACUUUAUUUUACAGUCCUGUUCCUCAUGUACAUACUAUGUACUUCUUAUAGUAAUUACAAUAACUAUGUAAUAAUUAGGUACUAACCCUGAACCUACCCCUAAACCUAACCCUACCCCAUGUAGUUACCUUGUGUUACCAGAACUUUCUUAGAUAAAUACACUGUAAGUACACUAUAAAUACAUGUUAGUACACGUACUGUAAAAUAAUGUGCAACCGACUUUUGAGUAUAUGAGACGUUGUGCAGUAACCAUUCAAGUUCACAUGGAGAUGAGCAAGUGUAAUAGCUGUUGUGGAAAAAAAUUGGGAUCAUUUGUGGACUGUGGACAUGAACAAAAAAAUUGGUUUCCUAUUUAAUUUUGGAUGUUAUGGACCAUUUAAUAAACCAGAAUGCCAUGGAAUCGGUCAGAGGAAUCUGUGUACAUCUGGCUAAAUGAAUUCAAUAAAAUAUUUCAUUGAAUAUAUAAUGUCACUGUUAUCCCUGGAAAUAAGCAGUAUCGUUCAUGCCAUAUUGGCUAAUAAAUGAAUCAAAAAGCUCCAAGAAAAA
RNA transcript from Carassius gibelio (silver crucian carp), 5072 nucleotides. It is a transcript of the gene named zinc finger MYM-type protein 4, with no coding region annotated. The transcript has 24 exons. The record is from RefSeq and is a predicted model, not a curated record. NCBI's taxonomy places the organism in Eukaryota, Metazoa, Chordata, Actinopteri, Cypriniformes, Cyprinidae.